RNAcentral lists this unclassified non-coding RNA (1242 nucleotides) under Orbicella faveolata. RNAcentral's name for it is "metalloproteinase inhibitor 2-like, transcript variant X1". Lineage: Eukaryota; Metazoa; Cnidaria; Anthozoa; Scleractinia; Merulinidae. The record is from RNAcentral.
ACUAACCAUAAAAUAAAUUGUAUUAUUUCCAUUAUCGAUUGCUAACUGUUAGCACGGUUAUUCAGGCUAAUUGCAGUGGAAGUCUGCCCUCCGGUUUGCCUGAAUAUCACUCCAGCUAGCCUGCCCAUCACUUAGGUUAGUCCGAAUGGAAACGCAGUUUGCUGAAUCUAUUUAGCCUGUUUACAUUUAGCUUUCAAUGAUGGAAAUGGUAACAGUUAAAAAGUUCAAGAGUCUGCAGUCUGCAUUUUACCCUCAGUCUGCAUUUUACCCUCAGUCUGCUAUUUACCUCCAGUCUGCUAUCUGCAUUUUACUCCUGGUCAGCCUCAAUCUGCUAUUUACCCCCAUUCUGCAAUCUGCAUUUUACCCACAGUCUGCAUUUUGCCUCCUGUACACAGUCUACAUUUUACCUUCAGUCUACAAUUUACUGUCAGUCUACAUUUUACCCUCAGUCUGCUAUUUACCCCCAUUCUACAGUUUGCAUUUUACCCUGUCUGCAUUUUGCCCCCUGUAUGCAGUCUACAUUUUACCUUCAGUCUACAUUGAACCCUCAGUUUGCAUUUUACCCCUGGUCCUCAGUCUGCAGUUCGCAGUCUGUGUUUUACACUCUGACUUGUUGUUAUCCUGAUUCAGGUGUUACAUAUUAAAACAUAAUAAAUGUAGAACAGUAAUUUACUGUUCAAGAAUUUAUAUUCUUGACUGUUUUUUUAUGUUUUCUGCAGUUCCAAGCUGUAGUGAUUACUCAGUGAUCCCCUGCCAUGAUACUCAAAGGACAACUCCAGUGUUCCCAGCUGUAGUGAUCCCCUGCAAUCAUACUCAAAGGACAGCUGUAAUGAUGUUUGCCGUCGGAGUAUGGUGCUUACUGUUCCCUUCUACACGAGAAGUAAUUCUUAUUUUGAAGAAGUAAUGGCGUCGACGUUUGGGGAAGAGAAGUCAGUUGACACCCAUAUUUCUACCAAUCGGAGUAAACAACUGAAGACAGGAAAGCCAGGAAAACACAAGGAGAUCAAAAGGAUUCAAGCAGAAAGGAUGAAGAAAAAGUUGAGAAUAGCAUUUGGGAAUUUUGAUAGAUUGAAAUCUCUCCCAUGCGAAAUGGCAGUCUUGAAACUAGGGAAGAUAUAAUCGAGUUCAAAAUCGUUUUGUUUGCUAAAAGUUUUAUUAUUUCUGUCCUCUCCGCUGAAAUAUUUGCUUUGACGUGGCACUUGAUUCGGACGUGAAAAAAUUAAAAUCGGUGAGGAACGCUAA